Molecule: ribosomal RNA, 494 nt
Filed under: uncultured bacterium
Lineage: Bacteria
Description: partial 16S ribosomal RNA
Rfam family: Bacterial small subunit ribosomal RNA
Source: RNAcentral
GACGAACGCUGGCGGCGUGCUUAACACAUGCAAGUCGAACGGUGAAGCGCCUUCCUUUUUGGUGGGUGUGGAUGAGUGGCGAACGGGUGAGUAACACGUGAGUAACCUGCCCCCUUCUUCUGGAUAACCGCAUGAAAGUGUGGCUAAUACGGGAUAUUCUGGGUCUGUCGCAUGAUGGGUCUGGGAAAGAUAUUGUUUCGGUGGGGGAUGGUCUCGCGGCCUAUCAGCUUGUUGGUGGGGUGAUGGCCUACCAAGGCGGUGACGGGUAGCCGGCCUGAGAGGGUGGACGGUCACACUGGGACUGAGACACGGCCCAGACUCCUACGGGAGGCAGCAGUGGGGAAUAUUGCACAAUGGGCGCAAGCCUGAUGCAGCGACGCCGCGUGAGGGAUGGAGGCCUUCGGGUUGUGAACAUCUUUCGCCAGUGAAGCAGGCCUGCCUCGUUUGUGGGUGGGUUGACGGUAGCUGGAUAAGAAGCGCCGGCUAACUACGUG